RNAcentral lists this long non-coding RNA (1213 nucleotides) under Phascolarctos cinereus (koala). RNAcentral describes it as "lncRNA (ENSPCIG00000033790.1)". The record is from RNAcentral. Lineage: Eukaryota; Metazoa; Chordata; Mammalia; Diprotodontia; Phascolarctidae.
GUUGAAGGCAAAGGCACUCAUUUUCCCUCUCCUCCCCCACCCCCCAACUAGGGGGUGGAGGAGUAAGGGAGCCUUAGUACUGAAAGUGCUGAACUCUAAAUGUAGAGGGGGAGCUUCAGAACGGCUCUCAACAACAUGUGACAGGGUUGUCAGAAAUGGGUCUGCACCCCAUCGCCUAAACACCAAUGGCUUGGAGAUCAAUCAGCUUUCUACUUAAUUUAAGGUUCCAAAGAAGUUGGGUUUCCAAGGAAAUAUGCUCUUAAUGCUAUAGGAUGAAUUUUAGAAACAAAUGGAAUUUAAAUGAAUGUUGGGUGUGAACAUCGUUCAAGUUUGAAUUGUAUUCAUAAGAUGGACAAAAUAAUUCUUCUGCUGUUCUGGUUUGAAUACAUUUUUCAGAUUUCUAAGAGUUUAUAUUGUGGGCCAAUACAAAAGCAACCUGCAACCAUUUUUGCUGAAUGGAGUGAAUUUCCUAAAGGAGAAAAGCCUCAACAUUAUUUUUUAAAAUAUCAACCAACCAAAGACUUCAAUAAAAAAAAUGUCAAAAACAUUUCUGCAGAACAACACAAGCUUCAGAAAUCUACAAUAACAAUAGAGGAAAAUGAAGAAUAUAACGUCAUUAUACAGUCAGUACGAAAUGGGGAAAUUUUAAGUGCAAAAUCCUUCAGGACAUGUGGGAUCUCAAAUAACAACAUUAAAGUCCUUGUGACAAGUACAAGUGUUUCUUUUAACUGGACUACACUGCCCCAUGACUUUUCAGUUUCAAUAUCUCUUAAUAAUUCAUCUCAAAGCAUACAAAACAAUGUAAUGUUUUAUGAAUGGGGCCAUUUGGAACCUUCAACCUCAUACAUUUUCAAAUUUGAAUUUAAACAGCUGCACUUGGAUUUUGUAAAUGUGUUUCAGAGGCUGGAUAUUCAUGUUGAAACAGGGUCCUGCCCACCAGAAUGGGUUGCAUUAAAAAGUAAUUGCUAUAGAAUUAGCAAAGACAGCCAGCCAUGGAAUGUGGCACAGAAAAUCUGUAAUAUACCUUUGCAUUCAGCACAUCUUGUUGAUAUAAAAAAUGAAGAGGAAAAGAAAUUUAUAUAUUCUUAUCUCAGGAAAGCCAACCAAAUAAUAAGUUGGACUGGUCUUAAUGAUAUAAAGGUCAGUAUAUGCAUUAUUUUUCAUACCUGGCAAUAUUUGAUAUAGUCAGUAUCUACUUUGAGAGGCAUCAGGG